GUGAACGCUGGCGGUAGGCCUAACACAUGCAAGUCGAACGGCAGCACAGUAAGAGCUUGCUCUUACGGGUGGCGAGUGGCGGACGGGUGAGGAAUACAUCGGAAUCUACUUUUUCGUGGGGGAUAACGUAGGGAAACUUACGCUAAUACCGCAUACGACCUACGGGUGAAAGCAGGGGAUCUUCGGACCUUGCGCGAUUGAAUGAGCCGAUGUCGGAUUAGCUAGUUGGCGGGGUAAAGGCCCACCAAGGCGACGAUCCGUAGCUGGUCUGAGAGGAUGAUCAGCCACACUGGAACUGAGACACGGUCCAGACUCCUACGGGAGGCAGCAGUGGGGAAUAUUGGACAAUGGGCGCAAGCCUGAUCCAGCCAUACCGCGUGGGUGAAGAAGGCCUGCGGGUUGUAAAGCCCUUUUGUUGGGAAAGAAAAGCAGCAGGUUAAUACCCCGCUGUUCGGACGGGACCCAAAGAAUAAGCACCGGCGAACUUCGU
Molecule: ribosomal RNA, 490 nt
Filed under: uncultured bacterium
Lineage: Bacteria
Description: partial 16S ribosomal RNA
Rfam family: Bacterial small subunit ribosomal RNA
Source: RNAcentral